UAAAAAUAUAAUGAAUAGAAAAAAAGAAUGAGAAAGAAAUGAUAGUACUAUCUUCUGUCAAAAAAUCGUUUUAAGGUACCAAUGUCUCCAACAGCUGUAAUGACAUCCAUUUCUGGAACAAGCAAACUAAUGAUUCGGUCCUGAGGCUUUCCGUUACGCUGCUUCGUGCGCAAACGAAUGAUUGCAAGAGUUUCUAAAGAAUUCGCGACAUCGCAAAAUUCCGAACUUGUUAAUGGAUAAAUCAAACGAUCUCGAAGACACAAAGAACUGUAUUUUUCAAAUACAUCGGCAACACUCAAUGAGGUUUUUUCACAAACAACAAGCGUACAAAGGAUGGCUUUCUGUUGAAGACCAAGGUUUUUUAAACGAGCACUAGCAGAUUGGCUCAUAGCAGAUGUCGCUCGGACAACAUGAGCAAUUGAUGCUCUUGGUAUAUCAACAGAAGAUAAUGUGUUGUCAUGUUGAGCUUUCCAUUCUCUUUCCGCAAGUUCAAUUGCAUGCCUACAUAUGUCUAAUGCUUUUCUCAAGUCACCACUUGAAGCUGCAACUUUCCGGGCACAUAAUUCAAUUGCAGCAGGAUGUAUAAAAGGUGUUUCAUCAGCAUGCUGAGAUACAACAUUUAUACUAUCAUCGCUUACUUCAGAGAUUGAUUUAAUAGGAGUAAAAGGAUUGUUUUUUUCUGAUGUGGUAGCGGCGGUUUUCAAACGCGCUUUUAUAAUUGUUGAGAUUUCUUGAGCAGUAUAAGGCGUAAAAGAGAGUAAUUUGGGAGUAAUAUGCUUUGUUCGUAAACGAGGGAGAAAUCGAUCUGUCAUGUCUAAGGCAUUUGCAAUGCCUACCAAAAUUAAUCUCGAAGUCGGUCGAGAGGGCCAUUCAAAAAGCGUGUACAGAACCUGCUGUUCGCGAGCAAUCAAGUGAUCCAUUUCAUCUAAAACAAUAAUGACUGGGUUAUAUAAUUCAUUGGCGGACUGGGUGAAAUGCGACUC
Schizosaccharomyces pombe (fission yeast) is the source of this 983-nucleotide non-coding RNA. NCBI's taxonomy places the organism in Eukaryota, Fungi, Ascomycota, Schizosaccharomycetes, Schizosaccharomycetales, Schizosaccharomycetaceae. The record is from the annotation of a GenBank genome assembly.